RNAcentral lists this ribosomal RNA (492 nucleotides) under uncultured bacterium. Its description in RNAcentral is "partial 16S ribosomal RNA". It matches the Rfam family "Bacterial small subunit ribosomal RNA", at positions 29 to 507 of the family's 1533-position model. The record is from RNAcentral.
AGUGAACGCUGGCGGUAGGCCUAACACAUGCAAGUCGAACGGCAGCACAGUAAGAGCUUGCUCUUACGGGUGGCGAGUGGCGGACGGGUGAGGAAUACAUCGGAAUCUACUUUUUCGUGGGGGAUAACGUAGGGAAACUUACGCUAAUACCGCAUACGACCUACGGGUGAAAGCAGGGGAUCUUCGGACCUUGCGCGAUUGAAUGAGCCGAUGUCGGAUUAGCUAGUUGGCGGGGUAAAGGCCCACCAAGGCGACGAUCCGUAGCUGGUCUGAGAGGAUGAUCAGCCACACUGGAACUGAGACACGGUCCAGACUCCUACGGGAGGCAGCAGUGGGGAAUAUUGGACAAUGGGCGAAAGCCUGAUCCAGCCAUACCGCGUGGGUGAAGAAGGCCUUCGGGUUGGAAAGCCCUUUUGUUGGGAAAGAAAAGCAGCAGGUUAAUACCCCGCUGUUCUGACGGUACCCAAAGAAUAAGCACCGGCUAACUUCGUG